CAGUGUCUUGCACAUCCAACGCAAGGGUCUCUAGGCGGUAAGGGGUCCUUUGAUCAAGAAAAUCCAAUUAUUUGUGUAUAUACAUUUCCCACAUAGUGAUUACUUCAUUAAUUGUCCCGCCUUUAUCUCCUCCCUUCCCAUCCCCCCUAAUAAUCAGUUCUUUUAUCCAGACCAACAAACACACCAUAGGAGCUUUGUGGAUUCAAAGGAUUUGCUUUCGCUUCUGAAAGAGCCGCUAUUCUUUGAUGAUUGGGUAGCGGCAAACUUCAAAGCCAUAAAUCUUCCCUCUGACUGGUUGGCGGCCCGGCAAAGUCCUUAUCAAAUUCUUGGAGGUGAUCCUGGCGCAGUCAGACAGUCCGCGGAGAUCGCGCAGCGCGGGGGGGUGGGACGCGCACGGAGGCGAAGAGAUCAGAAGGAAAGGGAGAGAGAGGGGGAGAGAGAAGGAAACUGGGCAGCUUCUCGUCUUCCCCUCGGCGUCCUCAUGCCUCGGCAGUGCCCCGGCGCCUUCCCUUCGCCCCGGGCGCAGUAGCCAUGGCCGCGGUGGCUGUCCUCCGGAACGACUCCCUCCAGGCUUUCCUCCAGGACCGCACCCCCAGCGCCUCCCCAGACUUGGCCAAGCACUCGCCCCUGGCUCUUCUGGCCGCUACUUGUAGCCGAAUCGGGCAGCCGGGCGCAGCGCCCUCGGAUUUCCUGCCGGUUUCCUACGACCCGACGCUGGGAUCCCCCUCUAGGAUCUUCCACCCGUGGAGCGGCGAGAUGCCAGCGCACUCCCCGGGAGGGCUGCCGCCGCCGCAUCCCAGCUUGGGGCUGACCCCUCAGAAGAACCACCUGCAACCCUCCUUCGGGGGUUCUCACGAACUGCCCCUCACCCCCCCGGCGGACCCCUCCUAUCCCUACGAGUUCUCCCCCGUCAAGAUGCUGCCCUCCUCCAUGGCCGCCCUGCCGUCCAGCUGCCCGCCCGCCUACGUCCCCUACGCCGCCCAGGCCGCCCUGCCGCCCGGGUACUCCAACCUGCUUCCGCCCGCCCAGCCCUGCCGGCAGCUGUCGCCCAACCCGCCGCCCGAGGACAUCCCCUGGUGGAGCAUCCAGCAGGCCAGCGCCCCGGGCGGCUGCGGCCACCGCUUCCCCGCAGCGGCGGCGCUGCCGCGGAGCCUGGUGCUGGGGCACUCGGACUUCGCUCAGUACCAGACGCAGAUCGCCGCCCUGCUGCAGACCAAGUCUCCCCUGGCGGCAACGGCCAGGAGGUGCCGCCGCUGCCGCUGCCCCAACUGCCAGUCGGCCGCGGGCAGCGCCCCCGAGGCGGAGCCGGGCAAGAAGAAGCAGCAUAUCUGCCACAUCCCCGGCUGCGGCAAGGUGUACGGCAAGACCUCGCACCUGAAGGCGCACCUGCGCUGGCACACGGGCGAGCGGCCCUUCGUCUGCAACUGGCUCUUCUGCGGGAAGAGCUUCACCCGCUCCGACGAGCUGCAGCGGCACCUGCGGACUCACACGGGCGAGAAGCGCUUCGUCUGCCCCGAGUGCGGGAAGCGCUUCAUGCGCAGCGACCACCUGGCCAAGCACGUCAAGACCCACCAGAACAAGAAGCUGAAGGCGGCGGCGGACGGCGUCAAGCGGGAGGACAGCCGCGACCUGUGACCGCCGGGACAGCCGGCGGCUGCUGCCUCUGCGGGCCGAGCCGAGCCGCGGCGGGACCCGGGCGGGGGGCGUUUCUCCGCCGGGGGCAGGGCGGUGGGGAGAGAGCGGCAGGUUCUCGGACUCUCGCCGGGCACGGCGAGCAGUACCCCGGCUGGGAGAGGCCUCCGCGGACCCUCAGGCCCGGGACUGGACGCUCAUAGGGCCCCGGGGCCGUCCGGGGGCAGGCGCCCGGCCCGGCCUGGAGCGCGGCUGAAUGGGGGGCCCGGGCGCUGGGGCACGAGCGGGGCCGGCCCGGUCCGGCCGCGGGGAUCGAGGCUUAUAGACACCUGGGGGUGAGGUGGCAGCGCCGCUGUGGCCGUGCUGGGGCUCGGCCUUCGUGCUUUCAGGGUAACAGACUGAAGUUUUGUGUACAGGUUAUUUAAUAGUUACGUUUGAAUACAUGUGUUCCCCCCCGUCUUCGACCCCGCGCGGGGUCUAGCAUGAGAUGUUUCUGUAAAGCGACCCGCGACCGCAGCGUGAAAUAAACACGUUCACACCGGGGUCACAGGGACGGUGCGGCCGCGUCGGUCUCGUUUGAUCGUUGCCGGGUGCCCCUUCCCGCCAUUUCCCGCUGAGGCGGCGGGCCGGCUGCGGGCCCGGCUCCACCGCGGCGGCCGAGCGGAGCGCAGCCACGGGGACCUGAGAGCUGCUCAUGGACUAAUCUGGAACUGUUCGGCUUCAGGUGAGAUCCUCUGGUGGCAGUUGUCAAGGAAGCUUUG
RNA transcript from Passer montanus (Eurasian tree sparrow), 2393 nucleotides. It is a transcript of the gene named Sp5 transcription factor, with no coding region annotated. The transcript has 3 exons. The record is from RefSeq and is a predicted model, not a curated record. Lineage: Eukaryota; Metazoa; Chordata; Aves; Passeriformes; Passeridae.